ACGCGAAGAACCUUACCUGGGCUAGAAUGCCUCUGACAACCUUAGAGAUAGGGCCUUUUGGGUAAAACCAGACAGAGUGCGAGGUGCUGCAUGGCUGUCGUCAGCUCGUGUCGUGAGAUGUUGGGUUAAGUCCCGCAACGAGCGCAACCCUUAUCAAUAGUUGCCAUCGGGUAAAGCCGGGCACUCUAUUGAGACUGCCGUUGACAAAACGGAGGAAGGUGGGGAUGACGUCAAGUCCUCAUGGCCUUUAUGUCCAGGGCUACACACGUGCUACAAUGGCAGGUACAAACCGCCGCAAACUCGCAAGAGGGAGCCAAUCGGAAAAAGCCUGUCUCAGUUCGGAUUGGAGUCUGCAACUCGACUCCAUGAAGCUGGAAUCGCUAGUAAUCGCAGAUCAGAAUGCCGCCGUGAAUACACUCGUGAGUGAGGAAAGAACCC
RNAcentral lists this ribosomal RNA (438 nucleotides) under uncultured bacterium. RNAcentral describes it as "bacterial SSU rRNA". It matches the Rfam family "Bacterial small subunit ribosomal RNA", at positions 959 to 1378 of the family's 1533-position model. The record is from RNAcentral.